RNAcentral lists this ribosomal RNA (281 nucleotides) under Pichia sp. RNAcentral describes it as "partial large subunit ribosomal RNA". It matches the Rfam family "Eukaryotic large subunit ribosomal RNA", at positions 245 to 532 of the family's 3401-position model. The record is from RNAcentral. Lineage: Eukaryota; Fungi; Ascomycota; Pichiomycetes; Pichiales; Pichiaceae.
UCUGAGGCCCUUCCGCCGAGUGGAGUUGUUUGGGAAUGCAACUCUAAACGGGUGGUAAAUUCCAUUUAAGUUUAAAUACUGGCGAGAGGCCGAUAGCGAACAAGUUCUGUGAAGGAAAGAUGAAAAGCGCUUUGAAAAGAGAGUGAAACAGCACGUGAAAUUGUUGAAAGGGAAGGGUAUUGCUCCCGACAUGGAGCGUGCGCACCGCUGCCCCUCGUGGGCGGCGCUCUGGGCGUGCUCUGGGCCAGCAUCGGUUUUUGCCGCGGGAGAAGGGCGGCGGG